AGGAAGACAUCCAACAUCAACAUGGCCUCCACAUGAACACACAUGGAUGGAGAUGGCCAGAUCCACUUCUCAAACUGGGAUAGCAGUGGAGGGGAUCGCAGAUGCACAUGUCCAUCACUUGGCAGCUACUCCUCAAUAUGAAGAUCCUUUCCUGGAUGGGGGGCGCUGGAAGACUCUGCCAGAGUGUGAGGCUUUACCUGACAACACAGGUAGGCUUGUUUGGCCUGCUUUGUUUGUCUGGCCCAGUGCUAACAAACAUACUGCAGCUGUAUCUUACAAUUCCCCCCAUUUCCCCCCUAGUUUUACAAAUCCUGAUUGUAUCAUUGAGAGAGAAUGAAAAAGGAAAAGAAUUAGACUCCU
RNAcentral lists this long non-coding RNA (360 nucleotides) under Rattus norvegicus (Norway rat). Its description in RNAcentral is "long non-coding RNA NONRATT009394". Lineage: Eukaryota; Metazoa; Chordata; Mammalia; Rodentia; Muridae. The record is from RNAcentral.